This 253-nucleotide ribosomal RNA is filed under the name uncultured bacterium. RNAcentral's name for it is "partial 16S ribosomal RNA". It matches the Rfam family "Bacterial small subunit ribosomal RNA", at positions 524 to 776 of the family's 1533-position model. The record is from RNAcentral.
UACAGAGGUCUCAAGCGUUGUUCGGAUUCAUUGGGCGUGAAGGGUGUGUAGGUGGCGCUGUAAGUCGGGUGUGAAAUCUCGGGGCUUAACUCCGAAACUGCAUUCGAUACUGCGGUGCUUGAGGACUGGAGAGGAGACUGGAAUUCAUGGUGUAGCAGUGAAAUGCGUAGAGAUCAUGAGGAAGACCAGUGGCGAAGGCGGGUCUCUGGACAGUUACUGACGCUGAGGCACGAAGGCCAGGGGAGCAAACGGG